RNAcentral lists this ribosomal RNA (854 nucleotides) under uncultured bacterium. RNAcentral describes it as "bacterial SSU rRNA". It matches the Rfam family "Bacterial small subunit ribosomal RNA", at positions 8 to 853 of the family's 1533-position model. The record is from RNAcentral.
AGAGUUUGAUCAUGGCUCAGAUUGAACGCUGGCGGCAGGCUUAACACAUGCAAGUCGAACGGUAACAGGAGAAAGCUUGCUUUCUUGCUGACGAGUGGCGGACGGGUGAGUAAUGCUUGGGAAUCUGGCUUAUGGAGGGGGAUAACUACGGGAAACUGUAGCUAAUACCGCGUAAUAUCUUCGGAUUAAAGGGUGGGACUUUCGGGCCACCUGCCAUAAGAUGAGCCCAAGUGGGAUUAGGUAGUUGGUGGGGUAAAGGCCUACCAAGCCGACGAUCUCUAGCUGGUCUGAGAGGAUGACCAGCCACACUGGAACUGAGACACGGUCCAGACUCCUACGGGAGGCAGCAGUGGGGAAUAUUGCACAAUGGGGGGAACCCUGAUGCAGCCAUGCCGCGUGAAUGAAGAAGGCCUUCGGGUUGUAAAGUUCUUUCGGUGAUGAGGAAGGUGUUUGUUUUAAUAGAACAAGCAAUUGACGUUAGUCACAGAAGAAGCACCGGCUAACUCCGUGCCAGCAGCCGCGGUAAUACGGAGGGUGCGAGCGUUAAUCGGAAUGACUGGGCGUAAAGGGCACGCAGGCGGUGACUUAAGUGAGAUGUGAAAGCCCCGAGCUUAACUUGGGAAUUGCAUUUCAUACUGGGUCGCUAGAGUAUUUUAGGGAGGGGUAGAAUUCCACGUGUAGCGGUGAAAUGCGUAGAGAUGUGGAGGAAUACCGAAGGCGAAGGCAGCCCCUUGGGAAUAUACUGACGCUCAUGUGCGAAAGCGUGGGGAGCAAACAGGAUUAGAUACCCUGGUAGUCCACGCUGUAAACGCUGUCGAUUUGGGGAUUGGGCUUAGAGCUUGGUGCCCGUAGCU